This 23-nucleotide non-coding RNA is filed under the name Arabidopsis thaliana (thale cress). Lineage: Eukaryota; Viridiplantae; Streptophyta; Magnoliopsida; Brassicales; Brassicaceae. The record is from RNAcentral.
AGAUGCACCACACAAAUCUCUCU